UUCUGGCUUCAAACAGUUAUGCUAGAUGUAUAUGAAACAUAAAUAAAUUUCAUACUUAAACUUGGGUCCCAACCCCAAGAUACCUCAUUAUGUAUAUGCAAA
Sapajus apella (tufted capuchin) is the source of this 102-nucleotide long non-coding RNA. RefSeq lists it as uncharacterized. The record is from RefSeq and is a predicted model, not a curated record. The transcript has 3 exons. Lineage: Eukaryota; Metazoa; Chordata; Mammalia; Primates; Cebidae.